RNAcentral lists this ribosomal RNA (564 nucleotides) under uncultured Glomeromycotina. Its description in RNAcentral is "SSU rRNA". It matches the Rfam family "Eukaryotic small subunit ribosomal RNA", at positions 548 to 1114 of the family's 1831-position model. The record is from RNAcentral. Lineage: Eukaryota; Fungi; Glomeromycota.
UUGGAGGGCAAGUCUGGUGCCAGCAGCCGCGGUAAUUCCAGCUCCGAUAGCGUAUAUUAAAGUUGUUGCAGUUAAAAAGCUCGUAGUUGAAUUUCGAGAUCAAUUUGUCGGUCGUGCCUCGGUACGUACUGGCAUUAUUGAUUUCUCCCUUCUGAAGAACCGCGAUGUCAUUAAUUUGGUGUCGUGGGGAAUCAGGACUGUUACUUUGAAAAAAUUAGAGUGUUUAAAGCAGGCGCACGCUUGAAUACAUUAGCAUGGAAUAAUGAAAUAGGACGUCUGAUUCUAUUUUGUUGGUUUCUAGGAUCGACGUAAUGAUUAAUAGGGAUAGUUGGGGGCAUUAGUAUUCAAUUGUCAGAGGUGAAAUUCUUGGAUUUAUUGAAGACUAACUACUGCGAAAGCAUUUGCCAAGGAUGUUUUCAUUAAUCAAGAACGAAAGUUUGGGGAUCGAAGACGAUCAGAUACCGUCGUAGUCUUAACCAUAAACCAUGCCGACUAGGGAUCGGAUGAUGUUAAUUUUUUAAUGACUCAUUCGGCGCCUUACGGGAAACCAAAGUGUUUGGGUUC